This 393-nucleotide ribosomal RNA is filed under the name uncultured bacterium. Its description in RNAcentral is "partial 16S ribosomal RNA". It matches the Rfam family "Bacterial small subunit ribosomal RNA", at positions 523 to 918 of the family's 1533-position model. The record is from RNAcentral.
AUACGGAAGGUCCGGGCGUUAUCCGGAUUUAUUGGGUUUAAAGGGUGCGCAGGCGGAGAUGCAAGCGUGACGUCAAAUUUCGGGGCUCAACCCCGUCUCGCGUCGCGAACUGCGUCCCUUGGUUGCGGGAAGGGGAGGCGGAACUCGUGGUGUAGCGGUGAAAUGCAUAGAUAUCACGAAGAACUCCGAUCGCGAAGGCAGCCUUCCGGCCCGUCAACGACGCUCAUGCUCGAAGGUGCGGGUAUCAAACAGGAUUAGACACCCUGGUAGUCCGCACAGUAAACGAUGGACACCCGCGGUUUGGCCUGUAUGGCUGAGCCGCCAAGCGAAAGCGUUAAGUGUCCCACCUGGGGAGUACGCCGGCAACGGUGAAACUUAAAUGAAUUGACGGGG